This 57-nucleotide transfer RNA is filed under the name Bos taurus (domestic cattle). It matches the Rfam family "tRNA", at positions 8 to 63 of the family's 71-position model. Rfam says of the family: Transfer RNA (tRNA) molecules are approximately 80 nucleotides in length. The record is from Rfam by way of RNAcentral. Lineage: Eukaryota; Metazoa; Chordata; Mammalia; Artiodactyla; Bovidae. RNAcentral also lists the same sequence under 5 other names.
UAGCUCAGAUGGUAUAGUGUCUGCCUACAAUGCAGGAGACCCAGGUUCGAUCCCUGG